Molecule: ribosomal RNA, 253 nt
Filed under: uncultured bacterium
Lineage: Bacteria
Description: partial 16S ribosomal RNA
Rfam family: Bacterial small subunit ribosomal RNA
Source: RNAcentral
UACGGGGGGGGUAAGCGUUGUUCGGAAUUACUGGGCGUAAAGGGCUCGUAGGCGGCCAACUAAGUCAGACGUGAAAUCCCUCAGCUCAACUGGGGAACUGCGUCUGAUACUGGUCGGCUUGAGUGCAGGAGAGGAACGCGGAAUUCCAGGUGUAGCGGUGAAAUGCGUAGAUAUCUGGAGGAACACCGGUGGCGAAGGCGGCGUUCUGGACUGCAACUGACACUGAGGAACGAAAGCCAGGGGAGCAAACGGG